CCACCGCCUUCUUCUCCGCCUCCAACUCCUCCCCCGCCGAACGCGAAGCGGCUGGCGGCUGUGGCGGCGGCGGCGGCGGUGGCGGCGGCGGAAGCAGAGGCGGUGGCGGUGAGUCCCGCCCCUUGCGCCGCGGUGGAGGCGAAGGAGGAGAGUACGCAAGCCCCUCCCCCAUAGCAGAGAUGACCAGUCAGCUUACAGGGUCUCUGCUGGGGGACAAUGCAUACGCCCAAUCAGAACCUGAGGAGUGGGCUCACGUCAAUGGUUGGGACGUGGCAGAAAAAGGGAAAAAUACUUGGACCUUCUCUACAGCCUGCUCCCCCAUCUCCCUCAGGGGGAGUUCACCAAUUGGCUGAAGAGCGGAAAGACGAAGCCGACUCAGUCCCCCGCCCCAGCCGAGCCCACCUCCUUUCCCUGCAGUACUGCGACGUUUGGGGAGGGGGCGGAGCACCGUGUAGGAGCUAAAACUGCGCGGCCUUUUGUGGUUUGGGCUGAGAGAAAAGGGCGGGGUCUCGGAAAGGGAAGGGGGUGUGGAGAACUAACAGAAAGACUGGCGCAGUUAGGCUUUUUCGGAAAUUCCAACAGCAACAACCAAAAUGGAGGCAUUAAAAUCGAUCCUGAUUCGACUGGAAACCUGAUUAACAAGGUUAAGGUCUCCUGGCAUAAAGUUCAGUUACAAUGCAGAUAUCGGUGAGACAAAAAAAAAAAAUGACACGAAGAAAGGCUUGUUUACCCACCCUGACCCUGGGCACUAUAUGGCGCUUUCCACCCUCCCUCUCCGCGCUGACCCUUGCCCCUCGCUUCUUAUUCUGCUGGGGCGGGGUUCAGAGGAGGCCUGCCUUUCCUCUGUAUAGCCUUGGGCUGACCACAGCCUCCCAGCUUGCAUCUUGAGGCUGUUUGUCAAGCCGGGAAGUAACAGCUCCCAUCACAUGCAACCAAAAUAAAUACAACAGCUGCAGUCCCCGGACACCUUGCUUAAUUUAAACCUGGGUAACAGUUUAGUUAAUUAUGUCAGUGAUACAAAACUGUUUCUUCGUUCCGCACAUAUUCCCUUUAUUCAUCUUGAAACGUGUCCGCUUAUCUGAUUACAGUCCCUCUGUCUUCUCUUAUUCCCCACCCCCGACCCGUCGCCUGAUGCCCAGGAUAUAUUCAUCGCCACCCCUCCCCCGCGAAUUAAGAGCCCCACUUCUUGUGCUGUCCCCUUAACAACAGCGAACUCUCUUGCCAGUGAACUGAGACUAAUUUUUUUUUGCUGUUGAUGGAAAUAAAUUACCCAAAAUUUACUGUAGAAAUUUAGGUUUAUGAGAAUUUGCCAGACAUUUUGUGAAAUCCAAUCUGAAUCCCAGCCCACUCCUGUAGUACGUUUCUUACCAAAAAACCAUUCCUUGCUUGAUAUUACUCUGCCUUCACACGUGUUGCUAUAGGAGUUCUGACUUUAACCAUCCAAGUACCUCUUUGAAAAAAAACAAAAUUCAUAUUUUAAUUACAUUUCCCUAGUUUCCCUUUAGGGUGUUCCAGAUUGGCCCAACUGGAUACAUUAACCUGUUCUAGAAGGCAGGGAUUCCCAAAUUUCAACCUUUUUCAUACUGUAUCUGUGUAUACUACUCACUGUCCUUUUUUCUUUAAAUAAAUGUAUAUUUUCUU
RNAcentral lists this long non-coding RNA (1641 nucleotides) under Homo sapiens (human). Its description in RNAcentral is "HSALNT0328780". Lineage: Eukaryota; Metazoa; Chordata; Mammalia; Primates; Hominidae. The record is from RNAcentral.